CGCCCGGCAGCGGCACCGGGACCGCCGGAGCGCGCCCGGCACCGGGACCGCCCGGGUGGGUGCGGCUCCCCAGGGAAGAGGGCGGCGAUGCCCCUCGGGACGCCGCGGGCUGCAGCGGGUGCAGGGAGAUGCCGUAGGGACGCUGCGGCUGUGGAGCAGCCUCCGUGCCCCCCCGGGUGUCCGCAGGGACCCGGCGCUGCCGUGUCCCGGUGAGUCCCGUGCCGUCCCGCCGGGAGCAGCGAGCGCAGCGCCUGGGCCGGUCCGCUGCGGCCCCGCCGCGGGACGUGCAGCGCUCGGAGCUGUCCCAAAGGCGGGGGCACACGCCGCUGGUUGCGCUGCUCCGCUUGGCAGCUCCCCGUGUCCGAAGCUAUUGCUCUAGCCACAGCAGAACGGCCGCGCUGGUACAGCUUCCGAACGGGGACGCUGUUGGCAGGAGGUCUGGAAAACAAAAUAAGGCUCUUUGCAUCUCCAGAGCUGCUGCCCUGGCGUGCUGCUCCCUCGGCAUCCUCGCGGGAAAUUUAAGGACAGUGUCUUCGGUAGGACCCUCCAAACAAAAACAUUUUCCCGUGUGAAUAACACACAAGGGAUGGCCAUGGAUUUGUGACCCCAGCAAAAGGCACCAGCUUGGAUCUGGCCUGCAAUAGCGCGAGUCGUCUGCCAACUGGGAUGUACUGGAGCUGCUCCUCUGUGGUCUGAAACGGUGAAUCAUCCCUCAUUUUGGCAUCUCUCAGGGUUUUCCAAAAAACUGGAAAAGGUGCCUCAGUGACUAAGGACUUUCAAUUGCUCGAUGCCCUGGUGGGAAGGAGUGGGGGCUGGCUCAGCUCCUCUCCAGUCCUGGCUCAAUCUGCCCAGUCCUACCGUGUUCCACUCGCUGGACUCACAGCACCAAACUGCUCCUGGCUCCUCUGUUUCCUCUCAAAGCAGCUUACAUUUUUAUUCAGGAUAGUUAUUUUUUUCCUGAUUGUCCUUUAGGAGCAAGUUUAUGAUGAAUCAGAAGAAACCACUUUUAAAAUGCAUUACAUAUAGGUUGCACCAGUUUAAUUAGGGCAAGUUUAAAUGUCUCCUGAAAUUAAGCCAGUGCAUAUUUCUUCAAAAAAGAAGCAAGUGAAAAUACUGGAGGUCCAAAGGUGUGGUAGGAUGUAUGAGCAGGAGAUGGUGCAGUGUGUGAAAGUACAGCAGUGUUUGUGGAAAGCAGCAUUAAACGUACAGAAUAGAUCUAUACAUCAAAAAUUUGCUUAGAAAAUAAGCAUUGCUUUUGUGGAGUGAUACAGCUAAAUUAAAUUUAGAUUUUUAACAAAUGCUUCUACCUGAAAGUUUAAUUAAAACAUAGUAGAUAUUAAGAUCCAAUUUGCUAUUGUGCAAAUAUAAAGAAUAAUUAUUUGGGUUGGAAAAAAUAGAAAUCUACCCAAUAUUACUUUUUUUUGAGUCACAGAGUUUAUUGAUUUUAUCAGAGAACAUUCCAUGCUCACUUAGUCCUAAGUCCUCACUUAGUUGCUCCUGAACUUCAUUUGCAUACAACCAUCUCCACAAUUUUCGUAAGAGAAUGGAAAGCUAGACAUAUGAUUCUGCACCUAGUCCUGACUAUGAAACAAAUUUUAGUGCCCAUUUUUCUAAUACUGUGACAUUAAACUGGGUUUAAUUAAACUGGUUUCCCUAAAAACCACCCUGGAGGAAACUGAAUUGCUUUGUAACUUUAGAAAUAAAAGUUACCUUCCCACUGGAUGGAGAAAAUGGCAAGUAUUACAAUUUGAAUGUACAUUUGUGUACAGGUAAUCUGUAAAACAGUAAUUUGUAUUUCUCUCCACUCACUUAUUUUAAAUUGAGCCGUAAUACACAUAAAUAUGCAGGGUAAGGAAGUGUAAUGGAAUGUUUUAUUUAAUAAAACAUGAUGUAUACUGACUCACAUUGGACUUCCUUCAAGUCAAGAGGUGAGAACCUACCUAGGAAAGCUUAUAAACUUGUUGCUGAAACUGCCUUUGGGCUUGAGAUUUUUCAUAGGGAAAAACACUUCUAGUAAAGUACAGAAUCUCUGUGAAUUUUUGUAUUCAUUCUAUUAUAAAAAUGUUUCCAAAUAUUUUUCAUGCAUUUUAUCACAAAAAACAUUUCUGAAUACAUUUGUUGCAUUUUAAUUUUUUGAGUUAUAUAUGUACAGAAUAAAAAAAUAAAAGAAAAAUCUAAG
Molecule: long non-coding RNA, 2179 nt
Organism: Parus major (Great Tit)
Lineage: Eukaryota; Metazoa; Chordata; Aves; Passeriformes; Paridae
Exons: 2
Source: RefSeq, a predicted model, not a curated record